Molecule: long non-coding RNA, 272 nt
Organism: Alexandromys fortis (reed vole)
Lineage: Eukaryota; Metazoa; Chordata; Mammalia; Rodentia; Cricetidae
Exons: 2
Source: RefSeq, a predicted model, not a curated record
GGUUUCUGCUCUACUCACCUAGACCUUCGGCUAAGAUUCUCCCAGAAGGUGUCUCCGUAAGGCUGAGGCAUUGGUCUGCUACUCUGGGAGGGCUGGCUGCAGCGUGAAGAUCGGCUGACCACCCUGGAACUCCUGAGAGGAGAACAAGGAGCUGGAGGAGGGCAGAAGACGACCUUUGCAGAAGCAGUAAGGGCUCUUACUGGCGGAGUCAACUCUUCAGUACCUGCCCUUUUUCUUUUAAUGCCUAUGGUAAAAUCUAUUUUAGAACCUUU